CUGAGGAAGCACUGUCUCAUCGGCAGGCAGCGGUGGCAAUGGGGACUUGCUCCAUUCUUGAGGAAAGCCUGCCUCAUAGGAAAUGACCAAUGACUACUGUCCAAGGUAAUGAUGAUGAAGAUAAUAAGACCACCGUGCAUCACUGUGAUCGGCAGCUGUGAUCUUCAAACACUGUCUGGACUAUCUCCAUCCAAGUCUGAGAGUGCUGACCCGACCCCUCUAGGCUUCAGAACAAGAAUGAAUACAGCCAAUUUGUCCAUCCAACUUCCACUGAGUCAGAAAAGAUAAAGAUGAACGGCUGCAGGUUGAUUCUAAGAAGCUUAAUUAUUUUCUUUUCCUGGGAUGCAUUCUUUCUGAAAUGAGUCUAGCUAUCUUCCUUCUGUUAUGGCAGCCCCCCCUCCUCACCAUCCCCCUCCCCAGCAUGGCAAAAGUUUAUUUUGGGCUUGGGGAAUGAAUUUGUAAUUAAAACACUUGCUGUCACAAUCAUAAGCAUUUGCAUAAUAGGGGCUCUUCAUUAGAGCAGAGAA
Long non-coding RNA from Onychomys torridus (southern grasshopper mouse), 527 nucleotides. RefSeq lists it as uncharacterized. Lineage: Eukaryota; Metazoa; Chordata; Mammalia; Rodentia; Cricetidae. The transcript has 3 exons. The record is from RefSeq and is a predicted model, not a curated record.